CAGCCGUUGCCUGGCAACUGCGCCUUGACCUCAGCAUCCGUUGAGUGACGAGACUGCGUUCCUUGCCACCUCCUUCUAGGUCCUUCUCGCCACACCCCCGGAGAGACCUACCAGCGGUUGUGUCUGACUUUCCAGCUAUGCAUGAAUCUGCAAGCAAGCUAGCAAGCAGCAGUCCCUCUCUGAUUUCUACUUUGAGCUCCUGCCCUGAACUCCCUCAGGGAUGCACUGUGGCCUGGAAGUGUAGACCAAAUAAAGCCUCCCCUCCCCUAA
Long non-coding RNA from Mesocricetus auratus (golden hamster), 270 nucleotides. RefSeq lists it as uncharacterized. The record is from RefSeq and is a predicted model, not a curated record. NCBI's taxonomy places the organism in Eukaryota, Metazoa, Chordata, Mammalia, Rodentia, Cricetidae. The transcript is spliced from 2 exons.